Ornithorhynchus anatinus (platypus) is the source of this 107-nucleotide small nuclear RNA. NCBI's taxonomy places the organism in Eukaryota, Metazoa, Chordata, Mammalia, Monotremata, Ornithorhynchidae. The record is from RefSeq and is a predicted model, not a curated record.
AUGCUUGUUUCGGCAGCACGGAUACUAAAGUUGGCACGAUCCGGAGAAUAUUAGCAUGGCACCUGCGCAAGGAUGAUAUUCAACCCGGUGAGACGUUCCUUAUUUUA